CCUUUGAAGUUCCAGACUGUCCUUCAACCUCCUCUUUGCUCUAGACAAAUACACAGCAUUUAAGGAACGGGCCACAGCUUGGACACUGUUGUAAAUCCUGUAGCUGUUUAGAGAUAAGAGUCUUUCCAGAUGGGCUUGGGGCAGCAUUUCCAGUUCCUCUCUUUCUUGGCAUCUUGCCCAGCUUUUCACUGACAAUGUAUGCAAUAUAUAGGAACAAGUAAAAGCUUCCUCCCAAAACUGCUGAAGUGCAAAGAAAAAGGCAUCAAUAUCAUCAUAUUUGGCCCAUUUAUUCAGCCCAAUAGAGAAAGAAAGAAUGCUGUGGAAAUGUUUGAAAUCUAAACCACUGUUGAUUAACUCAAUUAAGUCUACACUCAAAUCCCACAUAGAUGUUGUGAUCAAGACUUUCCCCACAGUGGGUUUGACCAGCUUGUCAAAUAUUAUUUCAGCAACUUGCAUUCCCUUCCAGAAAUAAGUAGAUUCUACAUAAUAUAAGAAUACUUGGACUUGUCGCCACUUUUCUGAUGGAGGAACUUUGACCGUCACACGGUUUGUAUUGAUUUGUGGAAUGCUUAGUGAGAUAGCAACACAAAUGCCACUCUCUACAAACAUAGGUGUCAAUGUCUUCAUGAACGUCUCUCCAUUGUCAGUGUCUGGAGCAAUGAGACCAAUGAACGUCCAUCUGAAGUGAUGGAGCAGCUUGACAAUUGGUGGGUAAACAGCCUCUUCUUUGGGGACCAUCCGAUAUAAAAAAGGGAACUGCCUCUUGUCAUUCAGAGCAUGUGAGCCAAAGGCAUAGUUGACCUGGAAAGAAAAGAUCGACUGUUGGCUUGCAUUGUUUGGGAUCAAAGACGAAAUAAUUCAUACCCCAAACAACAUAUAUUUGCUUUGUAAAAACACGUGUGUUGUUGGUUUUUUGCCCAGACUUUUCUUGACAUAUAAGACUGGAUUCCAUUUUUAUUUUUAUGAAUCCCACAGUUCCUGUUUUCAUUUUAAAAAAUACGCCUUUAUCCUUUUAUUUUAAUGCUUUAUACUGUAGAUUUGUUUCAACAAUUUUGUUACUGUUUUAGGUUGUGCACUACUAAAAGGUUUUCUUAAUAAUUGAGUGGGUUAUGAAUGUUUUCAAUUAAUAAACAAAUUUCACGGUUUCACUCAGAGGAAACUUCCCGCUUUAUCCAAUUUUUAGUGGUAUGGUAACUAGUAUGCGGGAAGUUCCCUUCCUUCUCAUUUUAUAUGCACAGGCAUACAAACACACAAACACAGGAAUCAGCAUUUGACACAAAUGGAAGGGAGAAAGGACAGGUAAUAUCAACAAGAGCACAGCAAUUCAUCUGACCAUUCCUUAUCUCCUUUCUUCAGUGCCUUGACAUCCAAUGUCUUCCUCAUUCUGAGCUGACAAUGUGCCAAAUUUUCAUGCCUGAGAAGCUCAGCCAGAUAAUCCCUCCAUCUCCAUUCUUACCUGUGGCAUUUUAUAGAUGCUCAACAUGCUUGAAAUCUGGAUGGAGUUCUCAGAGUCAGAGUCAGCCCCUUCAAGAACAGCAAUCAAGUUAUUCUGUCCUCCGCAGUUGUAGUUUGGAACAUUCGCCUGUCUAGAAGAGACCAGGUCUACCAAAGCUUCAUACGUCACCCUUCCAUGAAAAAAGGUCUCAUAGUUAUUGUAGCCCAGAGUGAUGUUGGGCAAGACCCUGGGAUUCUGGUUAAUCUCUUGAAUGGCAAAGAAGAAGGACAGGGGCAGCCAGUACCUUGUUCCUCCUUUGCUGAAAAAAAUGUAAAUAUCACAUCCUAUCCUCCAGCAUUCGGUGACAAGCUUCUAAGGAUAAUAUAAAAUCCUGGAUUCAAUUUCUAGAAUUUAAUCACCCUAACACUGAUCCAAAUUCGGACGUUUGACAGCAAAUUCCCAAUUAAUGAUGCAUGAGUGUUGGGAAAGCCUUGUUCAGUCAAUACUCAUUAUCCUAUGGAAAACAAAACUAAAGCAGAAUGAAUAUCUCAUGAUGGAUUAGACAUGCAUAGACUUUCAAAGAACAAUAGGAGUUUAAAGGUUUUUAAAGACUCAUUAAAUGACACAGAACAUCUAUUGCUGUCUCUCCUCCGCCUUCCCCCAGAUCCCUUCCAAGCCUGUUAUAUUUAUAAUUAAUUUUAUUGAUUUGUUUUAAAAAAGAAGUACAAACAUUUUUAAAAAAAGAAAAUGAAGAAUUAAAAAUUUAAAUACAAAAGCAUCACAGCCUGGAAGGCCCAAAGUACACAGAUACACCAAGCUCCAAAAUGAUGAUAAGUAAAAAUCAAUAUUGAAUGGAGCAGCAGUAACCCCAUCCCCAUAAAAUGACUUACUGCUUAAAGCUGGUAGAGGGAGACUCAGUGAAGUGAUGUGGAUUAAAUAUAGCAAAUCUAGCAGAGAUGACUCCACUAAUGAGGUGGUCUCCUGGCCUGUAAUAAAUGAAUGGCUCUAUCCAAUCUCUCUCCAAAGUCAAGGGGCAUUUUGCCUUCACUCCACAGUCUGCAUGAGGCAGGAAGAUCAGGAGAAGCAGUACCAUUCUUUGCCUGCUUGGAACACCUUCCUUGUCUGUGACUGCUCCUCUGAACUAGAAGAUAAUUAGAUAAUGUGGAUGGAAUCCAACCAAGGCUUGAUAUCUAGAAGGGAUAGAAGUCAGCCUUGCACUCUUGUAUUGCAACUCACCUCUCCUAAAUCUGAACCCCAAUUCUGAGUGGUACAGAAGGCCUUUAUGUACCAAUCCAUCCCUGCUCUGAUGAAAUAUGUUAAUAACUUCAUGUUGUUGUCAGUUCUGAUAUCUCCUUGAUUGGACUCAAAGGUGAUCUUUGGACAAAUCUCCGGAGCUUUGUUGAAAAGGUGAUGAAAGAAAAACCCCUCUGUGAUUUUGAUAAUUACAACGGGAAGAAGCACAGACUCUGAAAUGUCCUGAAUUAUUUACGUGGCUUCAUGCGCAGGUGCAGGCUGGAGAAAAACAUGUUUGCAAAAACUCCCACAUGUGUCUUCAAACUCUGAGAGGCAUAACAGAAUGGGCAACUAAAAAGUCUAACUUUGGUGAAAGAAGCUCAUUCUACACCCUCCAACAUUCCUCUGAUGUAAAUAGGGAGGCACAUCUUUUGGUGCUGUGCUCUCGCGGGAGCCUGCUGACUUGCGCGAGAUUGUGGCACCACUGCAAGCUUGAGCAGGGUCAUGUCUGGGAUAUGGAAGGCUGAAGGUUUAGAAGGGUCGUGCUUCUGUAUCACAAGGGCUGACAGGGAAGUGCCGGGCCAUUGCAGGUCAAGAAGAGGCUGGGGAGGCAGCGAGGUCAUCCUGGCUUGACUACUUCAACUCAAGAAGUUGCAGGAAACUUAGAUCCAGCCCCACCUUUCCCCUCUAGCUUCUCACUCUGGAGCCCUUCCCAACAGACGGAGACUGCGACAUGGGGAUGAGCUCCUCCCCUGGGUCUGUCUGUCAACAUGUGGGACUCUUCUAGAUCGAGGUGUGAGAGGAGGAGAGCCAGCAGGACUGACACUGUUCUGCUGUGGGAUGGCAGGUGUACCCCCCGAUUCCUCACUGUCUGUGUCUCUGCUCACAUUGAGACACUCAGCCUCCAGCCUUGUCCUGGAAGGGCCUCCACCUUCUGACACCCCCCUUGAUUCCAGCACCUCCCAGCUCAGCCCUUCCCCCUUGUCCCACCACCAGGACCCAGGGGUUCAGUCCUCAUCUUCCCUGUCUUCCUUGAGGGGCUCUUGGAUGGGAGGCUCCCCCGCUCCUCCUCAUCCAGCCAGGCCGUGAUACUUGAAUAUGGACCAUGUUGAGACACAGGUCAACUGAGGUGUCCCACCCCCAGCCACUGCAGGAAGCUCUAUGGUCCGCAGGCCCCACACUUGGCUUCUGGAAGGAGACAAAGGUCUUGAGGGCUGCAUGCAGCCCUUGGACUGUGCAUUGGAGCACCCCAACUUAGAGGAACUAGACAAGCAUGUCUGAUUUCACCCUUGCUUUUUCAUAUUUGCUUCUGCUAUUAGACAACAUAGGGAGAUCUAUGGAGUAGUC
This is a non-coding RNA of Podarcis lilfordi (Lilford's wall lizard), 4015 nucleotides long. The record is from the annotation of a GenBank genome assembly. NCBI's taxonomy places the organism in Eukaryota, Metazoa, Chordata, Lepidosauria, Squamata, Lacertidae.